Molecule: RNA transcript, 2267 nt
Organism: Liolophura sinensis
Lineage: Eukaryota; Metazoa; Mollusca; Polyplacophora; Chitonida; Chitonidae
Gene name: DNA-directed RNA polymerase III subunit RPC9-like
Exons: 3
Source: RefSeq, a predicted model, not a curated record
CAUGACAACGCGCCACGAGUGGCAAAAGCUCAAAAGCCUUAGGAAGUGGCAAUUGUUUUGGGUUAAGUUCAGUAUGAUUGUUGUAAGCAAGCGUCACGUGGAUUGGAUUCUGAAUUUUCUGCUACUGGUGAUUGUUCUAUUGGCUUGGGGCUAUGUCAUAGUGGCUGGGCGAUUUGCAUCAUUAAAAUAUUUGCAGAAAAUAUGAGCCAAAUGCCCAAAUGUUGAACCAGGGACAAUAGCUCACAGGAUCCACACUUUCUGAAGUGGCUUGGCCAAAAACGUUUGAGAAUGGAAGUUAUACAGGAUAAUGCUGCUAUGCUGAGUAACUAUGAGGUGUUCUCACUACUGCAGGAUAUUCAGCAUGGGAAAAGCCAGGAGAAACCAGGGAAGCACCAAGAGCAGUUAUCUACCAUUGUAUACGAGACAACCAAACACUUGGGAAACACAACAUGUGUGCAUCAAACCCCAGAGGUCAUACAGAACUUUAUGGAAGCGCUGAAGCCUUACAAAUUAACAAAGGCAGAGAAGUUGCAACUGCUGAACCAUCGGCCUGUGUCUGCUGUUGAAAUACAGUUGAUCGUUGAAGAGAGUGAGGAACGAUUGACAGAAGAACAGAUUGAGGAACUGUUGCUGGUUGUAGAGAAGUAUCUGCCUGGGGGAGAGCAGGAAGAGGAGGUAGGGGAGGAAUACCAGCAGAUGGAAUACCAUUAGGAUUGCUUAGGUGGUGACAUAGGAGGAAAUUACGUGUACAAGGAGGUUGGGUAUAUAGAGAUCAGUCAGAGGCACUAAGGCCCUGUGAGAGAACUACCAGUGGGUAUUCCAGGUCAGCCAGUGACCUGUGACACAGCUACCAGUAGGAAGAGUAGGUCAGCUAGUGAUCUGUAAAAGCUCUAACAGUGGAUAGAAUAGGUCAGCCCAUGACCUGUGAGAGAACUACCAGUGGAUAAAAUAUAAGUGAUCUAUGAGAGAACUAUCAUGGGAUUGAAUAAAGUACAAUUAGUUGGUGACCUAUAAGGGAAUUACUUGUACAAGGAGGUGUGGUAUAUGUAGGUCAGUCAUGGGACCCAGAGGACCUUUGAAAGAACAACCAGAGGAUGUAGUAUAAGUAGAGAGUAACCUUUAAAAGAACUACCAUGGUAUACAAAGUGCCAUGGGUCAGUCAAUAACCUCUGUGAGAACUACUGGUGGACAGAGAAUAAAUUAGUCACUUGUGAGACAAUACACAGGAAACUGAUGUACAAAGUAGGUCACUCAGUAACACAUGGGAGAACUAUCCGAGAAGUGAUUAGAAGGCGGUCACUUAUGAACCAAUCAGGGUGCUACCAGGAGGUGAAGCAUAAGUGCAUGUGUGUACAGAUGUGCAAAUUUUAAUCAAUAUUUCAAGCUAAUGAUAUCCUUGGCUCCUUUCUUACAUGUAUCUCUCUUGGAAUGCCGUGCUGGCUCUUUCAAAAAGUGGUCUCUCCUAUUAACAAUAUUCAUCUGUCUAUAUGACAAGAAUUACCAGUGGCACAAAUGUACAAUACUGUAAAUCUUCAACCUUUUCGCAUAUUUGCAAGAUGUUUAUUCAAGCAUUUUCUGAGGGCAUUAUUCUAUUAAGAAAUAAAUUUAUACUUUUUGUGAGGCCCUGAAAUUGGCCAAGCCAACCAGUGUAGUUUUUUCCCCAGUAUCAAAUUUAAAAUGUGCAUAAAUGGAGAUGAAAGUUGUUUUUUCAUAUGUGAAAAGGUUGAAGAAGUAGUAUAAGACAGUGUGUUAAGUAGAUGCUCUUCAAGAAUUAUGUUUCCAAAAGAGAUAAUUUUCACCACUGGCCUGAUAAGUUCCAUUUAGCUACAUGUAUAAAUAAAAUGAUGUUUAUCUACCAAUUUAUACCUAGGUAUGAUACAGGGACCAGUUGCUCAAAAGUUAAGGUAGACCUAAAUCUUAAUACUACUCUCAUCUUGAUGCAAAGUUAAUGUGGCCUUUGUCCAGUCUAAAGGUAAUACCAGAUCUGCCAGUCACUGAUACACUUUUGAACAACAGGGCUCUAAUAUGGGAUGACUGGUUUGGUAAUUUUGUUAUGGGAGUCUCCCAUAUACAUAUGUAUGAUACAUAAUUGGUGUUUAAUUAGGAGUUAAUUUUUGAUUUACAUAUCUUACAUGUAUUUAAAGUUACAAUUUAUUUUCAGUUUUUUCCAAAGUUGUCCUUUCUGUGGCCAAAUAAAUGUUCUGUUGUUAUGCAAACUGAAAUCAAUUUGAAGGCAUUUUAUGUUCUGUUAGCUUCUGCAGCUAAAU